CGUCAAGUAGCUCAGUGGUUUAGAGCAGUCGCCCGGCAAGCGAAAGACUCGGGUCCGAUUCCCGGUCUAGCGA
Non-coding RNA from Harpegnathos saltator (Jerdon's jumping ant), 73 nucleotides. The record is from Rfam. Lineage: Eukaryota; Metazoa; Arthropoda; Insecta; Hymenoptera; Formicidae.